RNAcentral lists this ribosomal RNA (500 nucleotides) under uncultured bacterium. Its description in RNAcentral is "partial 16S ribosomal RNA". It matches the Rfam family "Bacterial small subunit ribosomal RNA", at positions 30 to 523 of the family's 1533-position model. The record is from RNAcentral.
AUUGAACGCUGGCGGCAGGCUUAACACAUGCAAGUCGAGCGGGGGAAGGUAGCUUGCUACCGGACCUAGCGGCGGACGGGUGAGUAAUGCUUAGGAAUCUGCCUACUAGUGGGGACAACAUCUCGAAUGGGAUGCUAAUACCGCAUACGUCCUACGGGAGAAAGCAGGGGAUCUUCGGACCUUGCGCUAAUAGAUGAGCCUAAGGCGGAUUAGCUAGUUGGUGGGGUAAAGGGCUAGCAAGGCGACGAUCUGUAGCGGGUCUGGGAGGAUGAUCCGCCACACUGGGUCUGAGACACGGCCCAGACUCCUACGGGGGGCAGCAGUGGGGAAUAUUGGACAAUGGGGGGAACCCUGAUCCAGCCAUGCCGCGUGUGUGAAGAAGGCCUUAUGGUUGUAAAGCACUUUAAGCGAGGAGGAGGCUACUUUAGUUAAUACCUAGAGAUAGUGGACGUUACUCGCAGAAUAAGCACCGGCUAACUCUGUGCCAGCAGCCGCCGUAA